RNAcentral lists this ribosomal RNA (253 nucleotides) under uncultured bacterium. Its description in RNAcentral is "partial 16S ribosomal RNA". It matches the Rfam family "Bacterial small subunit ribosomal RNA", at positions 524 to 776 of the family's 1533-position model. The record is from RNAcentral.
UACAGAGGGUGCGAGCGUUAAUCGGAAUUACUGGGCGUAAAGCGUGCGUAGACGGUAGCGUAAGUCAGAUGUGAAAGCCCCGGGCUCAACCUGGGAAUUGCAUUUGAGACUGCUCUGCUCGGGUGCGGAAGAGGGAAGCGGAAUUUCCGGUGUAGCGGUGAAAUGCGUAGAUAUCGGAAGGAACGCCCGUGGCGAAAGCGAGAUCCUGGACGUUUUCUGACGCUGAGACGCGAAAGCUAGGGGAGCAAACGGG